Molecule: non-coding RNA, 234 nt
Organism: Vicia faba (fava bean)
Lineage: Eukaryota; Viridiplantae; Streptophyta; Magnoliopsida; Fabales; Fabaceae
Source: the annotation of a GenBank genome assembly
AUGUCAUCUCCUCGUAUUCAUUCUCUCUUUCCAAAUCUUUCACUAAUUCCUCCAAAUUUCUCUCAUAUCUCUUUGUAUCUUAACAACAAUAGAAAAAACCUAGAAAGCUUAAAAGAAGUUUGCUCGACGCGUAUCCAAACCAACAAAGAUGAUAAGAAAACAAGAGUAAAUCUAUUCAAGGAUUCAGAUUUGAGCUUGAUUUCCUUGAUGGAUAGCUUUCAAGAUGAGAAGUGA